Molecule: long non-coding RNA, 402 nt
Organism: Drosophila miranda
Lineage: Eukaryota; Metazoa; Arthropoda; Insecta; Diptera; Drosophilidae
Exons: 2
Source: RefSeq, a predicted model, not a curated record
CGGACGCGCUUUUAUCUUUACUCUUCCAGCGUAUCAACAUUUUGUGAUAGUGUCCAGUCCUUUUCGAGGAAUUCUGCUGAUCUACAGCUGAGAGUUCGGGGGCCAUCAUCUUAAAGGUCGGAAUGGUAAAUCGUUUUUGAAUAGUAAUUGCACUAAAAUAACUAAAAUUAUGCAAGCUACGAAGUUUGAGCUGAAAAGUGUACAAUGGCUGCACUAUCAAGUUGUCCAAGCGAUACAACACGCGCCGCGUGUUUCUCUGGCGAAACGCAACGAGGGGCGCUGCCGCAUGACGCGUAAAGCGCUGGUGUAUAUUAUAGUACCAAAUAUUGUAUUAACUAUGCUAAUAUACGCAUUAUUAUGCACUUGUUUUGUUGUCGCAAGAACGCAACGCACAAGAAUAUA